AGUUUUAUAUUCAAUAAAUGAUUUUAAAUUGCAAAUUUAAAGUAGUAAUAUAAUAUUACUAAAGCUU
This 67-nucleotide transfer RNA is filed under the name Ironoquia dubia. RNAcentral describes it as "tRNA-Cys". Lineage: Eukaryota; Metazoa; Arthropoda; Insecta; Trichoptera; Limnephilidae. The record is from RNAcentral.